This is a non-coding RNA of Talaromyces proteolyticus, 72 nucleotides long. The record is from the annotation of a RefSeq genome assembly. Lineage: Eukaryota; Fungi; Ascomycota; Eurotiomycetes; Eurotiales; Trichocomaceae.
UUCUAGAUGGUCUAACGGUUAUGAUGGGUGCUUGUCACGCACUCGACCGGGGUUCGACUCCCCGUCUGGAAG